Oreochromis niloticus (Nile tilapia) is the source of this 745-nucleotide long non-coding RNA. RefSeq lists it as uncharacterized. The transcript is spliced from 3 exons. The record is from RefSeq and is a predicted model, not a curated record. Lineage: Eukaryota; Metazoa; Chordata; Actinopteri; Cichliformes; Cichlidae.
AGUAGAAUGUUGGAUAUUCAAAUGAUGUGCUGCAGCCAUCCCCAGAACUCCUCAGGAUCUUCAUUUAUUCUGUCCUCUGUCAUUUUUCACCACCACACAUCGUCACUCCUCUUCUUCUUCCAUGGCCUGGAUGUUGCACAGUCAACUUUUUACCUGAGCAGCUCCUCCAUGUGCACUAAUUGAAAUUUCUGUUGUGCUCACAUAAAUUACAUUUUAAUAAUAAUGAUUUAAACCUGUCAGCAGAUUUUCUAAGAUAGUUCUGACCUACACAAUGAAACUGUGCUAACAUAUUUUUUCCAAGUUAAACUAUGAAAGUGACAAAAACAGAAUGAAUCCUCCUGCAACUUAGAAAACUUUGAUUCUCUCCCUGUGUUUGUGUUCAAGCUGUUUGUAUUUAACACUAUCAUCAACAUCGGCAGAUUGUAUGAUUUGUUUCUUAUAGUUGAACAUUGUUAAUCAUUUUGUAUUUUUCCUCCUCAGAUGCAAAAUUUUCUUCUCAUGGUUCUUCAGACAUAACCAGCAAAACUCAGCUGAUGACAAAUUAAUUGACUGACAAAGAGAGUGUGAUCUGGCACAAAGGAGACAGUUUUAACACGUGGACUAACUUCAUUUCAUGAGCGCUCACCUGAAACCUUGGCUGAUUGUGACCUACACCCAUUUUCACACCUUGGCUCAUGUGAUUAGGUAGAGGAUCAUUAGGGGGUCCAUUGUCCCUCUCAGAGGGUUACUCACACAGGGUUUAAAU